RNAcentral lists this ribosomal RNA (253 nucleotides) under uncultured bacterium. RNAcentral's name for it is "partial 16S ribosomal RNA". It matches the Rfam family "Bacterial small subunit ribosomal RNA", at positions 524 to 776 of the family's 1533-position model. The record is from RNAcentral.
GACGAACCGAGCGAACGUUAUUCGGAAUCACUGGGCUUAAAGGGCGCGUAGGCGGACGAUCAAGUCAGGGGUGAAAGCCCCCGGCUCAACCGGGGAAGUGCCUUUGAUACUGGUCGUCUCGAGGGAGGUAGGGGCGUGCGGAACUUCCGGUGGAGCGGUGAAAUGCGUAGAUAUCGAGCGGAACACCAGUGGCGAAGGCGAGUCCCUGGACAACUCCUGACACUGAGGCACGAAAGCUAGGGGAGCAAACAGG